UAAUAGUUGCAUUGGUAUCUCUGCCAGCUUUGUUUAAAUUCCCUUUUCUACUCUUUAAGCAAGCUUGGAGCUCCAAUUAUUCCCCUUUUGAUACACAACUUAAGAAAAACUUGACUUGAGGUCAACAGUAUCUUAAAAAGGAGACAGAAGGCUUGGGCCGAAUAGGAAACAGGUUUCACACCAGUGCAGUUUUCCCAAGAUGAUGGUCUUUUACUGUCAGCGGAUUGCUUCAGGAGGCCCCCUCACACUCCACCACCAACUACAGCUCCUGCUUAAAUGACAGAGAAAGGGAAGAUGAGUCAGUAAGUACAAAAGCUUCCAGCACGGAAGAGCACUAGAUGAAACAGUGGUGUUGUCCUGACCAGCCAGCAAUCCCAAACUGAGCUCCUCCUCUAAACCUGAAAGUCUGCAUUUCCUGAAUCAACAGGCCCAGCACAGGGCUUGCUCUCACCACCAUUACUCAUAUAAGAAGCCCUGUUCACAUCACUGACUACACAUGUGAUUUAAGUCAAUACACAAAGUGGCUGAUAUGUGUUUUGUAGCCAUGAGGAGAGUAAGCAGUCAAUUCACUAAACUUUGUAACUGGUCACAGAGGGACAUGGAAAAGUUCUGAGUCCUUAAAUCAGAGCUGGCCAUCUCUCAAAAAGGGACAGUCUAAUUCAACUAAAAGUGGUUGGGGCUGGUGGAGAAAUUAUGGGGCAAAAUAAUUGUAUGGCUGCUUUGAUGCAGUAGACCAAAUUACAUGAUGGUCUCUUAAUGUCGUGGGUAUUUUUACCUGAGGAGGGUGGUAUGUAAGGCCAUAGGCACACAUGGUAGACUCUAACUGGGUACUAACUCUUUUGAUUCAAUUUUGCAGAGCUGUGCAUCUAUGGGGAGAGUUGUCAUUCUGCCUCCCAAGUACCUCCUCAGGAAGAGAGCUUAAAACACAUAGUUUCAUGCUAAAAAACAUCCAGUCCUUUGCUUCCAGCAGUAGCUGAUGUAGGAGGAAAGAGCUGCCCACUCUUCAUUUACAGACCAGUCUGGCUGCACAGCUUCAUAGAUGCGAGGACUGAGACCACACAGCGUUGAAUCAUACUCUGCUUUGUAGCUUUGCUUUGUGCUUUGCUGAGGACAGAGACCGGGCAGUGUUCCCGGCGAAGAGCCGCUGUCUAUCGAGGAGAUGGAUGGGCUCGGCUCCCGCUCUGCCCAGCUGCCUCUGAAUGCUCCCGGCUCAUGGGAAAUGGCCAGAACCACUGAAUUUCAGCCAUUGAUCCCCUCCCUCCUUUCCUCUCUUUCUACCUCUUUCUUCCCUGCAUUCCCUGAGGGUUCUCUUGGCUGGCUGAAGGCGCUGCGUUGCUGUGGGCAGGCUUUGAUCGCAGCCCCUGCUGCUGGGGGCGGAGAGGUGGGCACAGCAAGGGCUGCGGGCUGGUUUGGGUUUACAGCACGGGAUUCUGUGAAUGGAAAUCCUUAAAAUAAAAAUAAAUACGUAAAAUCAA
Molecule: long non-coding RNA, 1475 nt
Organism: Pezoporus occidentalis (night parrot)
Lineage: Eukaryota; Metazoa; Chordata; Aves; Psittaciformes; Psittacidae
Exons: 4
Source: RefSeq, a predicted model, not a curated record